RNAcentral lists this long non-coding RNA (813 nucleotides) under Vitis vinifera (wine grape). RNAcentral describes it as "long non-coding RNA (VVIN_LNC003494)". Lineage: Eukaryota; Viridiplantae; Streptophyta; Magnoliopsida; Vitales; Vitaceae. The record is from RNAcentral.
UUUCCUUUCUUUAUUGUUUCCUUCCAAGAAGAGAGUGAAGUCAUUACACAACUCUAUAAAAGUUGCCUCAUCGUUUUAAAGCAGGGAUGCCUUGUUAUCUGUAACCUUCAUCUACCACACUAGACAUGUCCGCAUAGCACACUAUCCAAGGUGAAUAAAAGCUUCUACAGGCUGUCUUUUAAUACUAUAUACAUAUACAUAAUCAUUUAGUUUAAUUUAAUUGAAAAGAUGCAUGCGGGUAAUCCAAUAUUGCCACGGUAAAUAAAGAAAAGAAAAUUUUGGUCCCCAUGCACUUACAAGGACAUCACAGCGGCAGUGCCGUUUGGCAUGUAAUAAAAAACAAGAUAUAUAGGAUCUUCCGAUGAGUAGACGUGGCGCUAUCUACUCGACUCCCAUCCUUUUGUCUGCAUUCUUAUUCAAAUGACAACCCAAGAGCCAGUUUUCUACAAUAGUCAACAGGUUGAGCAUGCCAGGACAGGCCACUUCAAGACAAUAUGCAAGACAUUUUCUAAUCACCUCCUGCUCUGUCCAAUACCAGCAUCAUCAGAAAAAAAAAAAAGAGGGGAAUCAAUGGAAACCGUGGCAUUUUGUUUCUGACUUUCUUUUUUCGCGGAGAUGUGUCACACUAGUACAGCGAGAAAGAAAACUACUACACAGCCAAUGAGGCAUGCGGUGUUCCCUGAGGUUUGUUAUAGGUUUGGGUAGAUGGUAACCGGCAGUGUUUUCCCAGAGCCUGCGGGACUGGAAUUAGUAAACGUUUACCAAGAAAUUUUGAAAAAGUAAACAUGAGAAAUGACGGGUUGACUGGAAAAU